Molecule: small RNA, 27 nt
Filed under: Bombyx mori (domestic silkworm)
Lineage: Eukaryota; Metazoa; Arthropoda; Insecta; Lepidoptera; Bombycidae
Description: ovarian small RNA-25468
Source: RNAcentral
UCACUGUCUUAACAUUGUCGUUGCCUG